GUGGGUGAUCUGCCCUGCACUUUGGGAUAAGCCUGGGAAACUGGGUCUAAUACCGAAUAGGACCACGCGCUUCAUGGUGUGUGGUGGAAAGCUUUUGCGGUGUGGGAUGGGCCCGCGGCCUAUCAGCUUGUUGGUGGGGUAAUGGCCUACCAAGGCGACGACGGGUAGCCGGCCUGAGAGGGUGACCGGCCACACUGGGACUGAGAUACGGCCCAGACUCCUACGGGAGGCAGCAGUGGGGAAUAUUGCACAAUGGGCGCAAGCCUGAUGCAGCGACGCCGCGUGAGGGAUGACGGCCUUCGGGUUGUAAACCUCUUUCAAUAGGGACGAAGCGCAAGUGGCGGUACCUAUAGAAGAAGCACCGGCCAACUACGUGCCAGCAGCCGCGGUAAUACGUAGGGUGCGAGCGUUGUCCGGAAUUACUGGGCGUAAAGAGCUCGUAGGUGGUUUGUCGCGUUGUUCGUGAAAACUCACAGCUUAACUGUGGGCGUGCGGGCGAUACGGGCAGACUAGAGUACUGCAGGGGAGACUGGAAUUCCUGGUGUAGCGGUGGAAUGCGCAGAUAUCAGGAGGAACACCGGUGGCGAAGGCGGGUCUCUGGGCAGUAACUGACGCUGAGGAGCGAAAGCGUGGGGAGCGAACAGGAUUAGAUACCCUGGUAGUCCACGCUGUAAACGGUGGGUACUAGGUGUGGGUUCCUUCCUUGGGAUCCGUGCCGUAGCUAACGCAUUAAGUACCCCGCCUGGGGAGUACGGCCGCAAGGCUAAAACUCAAAGGAAUUGACGGGGGCCCGCACAAGCGGCGGAGCAUGUGGAUUAAUUCGAUGC
This 827-nucleotide ribosomal RNA is filed under the name uncultured bacterium. Its description in RNAcentral is "bacterial SSU rRNA". It matches the Rfam family "Bacterial small subunit ribosomal RNA", at positions 117 to 957 of the family's 1533-position model. The record is from RNAcentral.